UACGUAGGGUGCACGCGUUGUCCGGAAUUAUUGGGCGUAAAGAGCUCGUAGGCGGUCUGUCACGUCGGCUGUGAAAACCCGAGGCUCAACCUCGGGCCUGCAGUCGAUACGGGCAAACUAGAGUACUGCAGGGGAGACUGGAAUUCCUGGUGUAGCGGUGAAAUGCGCAGAUAUCAGGAGGAACACCGGUGGCGAAGGCGGGUCUCUGGGCAGUAACUGACGCUGAGGAGCGAAAGCAUGGGGAGCGAACGGG
RNAcentral lists this ribosomal RNA (253 nucleotides) under uncultured bacterium. Its description in RNAcentral is "partial 16S ribosomal RNA". It matches the Rfam family "Bacterial small subunit ribosomal RNA", at positions 524 to 776 of the family's 1533-position model. The record is from RNAcentral.